AGCCGAAGUGAGUGAUACCCUGCUUCCAGGAAAAGCCACUAAGCUUCAGCUAUUGACGACCGUACCGCAAACCGACACUGGUGCGCGAGAUGAGUAUUCUAAGGCGCUUGAGAGAACUCGGGAGAAGGAACUCGGCAAAUUGACACCGUAACUUCGGAAGAAGGUGUGCCUCUAG
This 175-nucleotide ribosomal RNA is filed under the name Asterionellopsis glacialis. Its description in RNAcentral is "partial Bacterial large subunit ribosomal RNA". It matches the Rfam family "Bacterial large subunit ribosomal RNA", at positions 1583 to 1757 of the family's 2925-position model. Lineage: Eukaryota; Bacillariophyta; Plagiogrammaphyceae; Rhaphoneidales; Asterionellopsidaceae. The record is from RNAcentral.